Molecule: ribosomal RNA, 253 nt
Filed under: uncultured bacterium
Lineage: Bacteria
Description: partial 16S ribosomal RNA
Rfam family: Bacterial small subunit ribosomal RNA
Source: RNAcentral
UACGUAGGGUGCGAGCGUUAAUCGGAAUUACUGGGCGUAAAGCGUGCGCAGGCGGUUGGCCGUGUCCGAUGUGAAAGCCCCGGGCUUAACCUGGGAAUGGCAUUGGAAACUGGCUGGCUGGAGUGUGGCAGAGGGGGGUGGAAUUCCACGUGUAGCAGUGAAAUGCGUAGAGAUGUGGAGGAACACCGAUGGCGAAGGCGGCCUGCUGGGCAGUAGCUGACGCUGAGGCGCGACAGCGUGGGGAGCAAACAGG